CCUUUGUACACACCGCCCGUCGCUACUACCGAUUGAAUGUUUUAGUGAGGUCUUCGGACUGGCCCAGAGAGGUGGGCAACUACCACUCAGGGCCGGAAAGUUAUCCAAACUCGGUCAUUUAGAGG
RNAcentral lists this ribosomal RNA (125 nucleotides) under Sordariomycetes sp. Its description in RNAcentral is "partial small subunit ribosomal RNA". It matches the Rfam family "Eukaryotic small subunit ribosomal RNA", at positions 1657 to 1779 of the family's 1831-position model. Lineage: Eukaryota; Fungi; Ascomycota; Sordariomycetes. The record is from RNAcentral.